AGAUAGUUGCGUUAGCGGUAGUAACGGCAUCCUUUUUUUUUAUGGAUCAAUUGCGACUACGCUAGGUGAUCCAUAAAAAAAAAGAUAUAGUGGAUAACGCGACCUUUA
Molecule: small RNA, 108 nt
Filed under: Mesoflavibacter zeaxanthinifaciens subsp. sabulilitoris
Lineage: Bacteria; Pseudomonadati; Bacteroidota; Flavobacteriia; Flavobacteriales; Flavobacteriaceae
Description: Flavo-1 RNA
Rfam family: Flavo-1 RNA
Source: RNAcentral